AAAGGGCGCGUAGGCGGUUUGACAAGUCUUGUGUGAAAUCUCUGGGCUCAACCCAGAGUCUGCACGGGAAACUGUCGGGCUAGAGGAUGGGAGAGGUGAGUGGAAUUUCCGGUGUAGCGGUGAAAUGCGUAGAUAUCGGAAGGAACACCUGUGGCGAAAGCGGCUCACUGGACCAUUACUGACGCUGAGGCGCGAAAGCUAGGGGAGCAAACAGGAUUAGAUACCCUAGU
RNAcentral lists this ribosomal RNA (230 nucleotides) under uncultured bacterium. RNAcentral describes it as "partial 16S ribosomal RNA". It matches the Rfam family "Bacterial small subunit ribosomal RNA", at positions 562 to 791 of the family's 1533-position model. The record is from RNAcentral.